Molecule: ribosomal RNA, 322 nt
Filed under: Syngnathus louisianae (chain pipefish)
Lineage: Eukaryota; Metazoa; Chordata; Actinopteri; Syngnathiformes; Syngnathidae
Description: partial 12S ribosomal RNA
Rfam family: Bacterial small subunit ribosomal RNA
Source: RNAcentral
CCGCCAGGGAACUACAAGCACUAGCUUGAAACCCAAAGGACUUGGCGGUGCUUUACACCCACCUAGAGGAGCCUGUUCUGGAACUGAUAACCCCCGUUCAACCUCACCCUGCUUUGUCAUACCCGCCUAUAUACCGCCGUCGUCAGCUUACCUUGUAAAAGAUUUUAAGUGAGCAGGAUUGGUACAACCCAAAACGUCAGGUCGAGGUGUAAUGAAUAGCAGGGGAAGAAAUGGGCUACAUUUGUCAACCGAUAAACACGGAUGAUUGAUUGAAAAAUAAAUCUGAAGGAGGAUUUAGCAGUAAGAAGAAAGUAUAUAGUUC